RNAcentral lists this ribosomal RNA (447 nucleotides) under uncultured bacterium. Its description in RNAcentral is "bacterial SSU rRNA". It matches the Rfam family "Bacterial small subunit ribosomal RNA", at positions 355 to 825 of the family's 1533-position model. The record is from RNAcentral.
UGGGGAAUAUUGGACAAUGGGCGCAAGCCUGAUCCAGCCAUGCCGCGUGAGUGACGAAGGCCUUAGGGUUGUAAAGCUCUUUUGGCGGGGAAGAUAAUGACGGUACCCGCAGAAUAAGCUCCGGCUAACUUCGUGCCAGCAGCCGCGGUAAUACGAAGGGAGCUAGCGUUGUUCGGAAUCACUGGGCGUAAAGCGCACGUAGGUGGGCAGUUAAGUCAGGGGUGAAAGCCCGAGGCUCAACCUCGGAAUUGCCUCUGAUACUGGCUGUCUAGAGUUCGAGAGAGGUGAGUGGAAUUCCUAGUGUAGAGGUGAAAUUCGUAGAUAUGUGGAGGAACACCGAUGGCGAAGGCAGCCCCCUGGGUCAAGAUUGACGCUCAUGCACGAAAGCGUGGGGAGCAAACAGGAUUAGAUACCCCAGUAGUCCCUGAGCGGGCUGGCAAGGCGCAU